This is an RNA transcript of Symphalangus syndactylus (siamang), 5387 nucleotides long. It is a transcript of the gene named PR/SET domain 4, with no coding region annotated. The record is from RefSeq and is a predicted model, not a curated record. NCBI's taxonomy places the organism in Eukaryota, Metazoa, Chordata, Mammalia, Primates, Hylobatidae.
CCCAGAGGAGGCCACGGGCCGGGAAGGGCCGAGCGGGGCGGGAAACGUUAGGGCAGCGGCCCCCGGGGUGAGGGGGCCGAGCGGACGGGCAGGGCCCCGAGGCGAACUCUGCCCGGAUGAGGAACAAAGCAGUGGAGCAGGCGCGUGCGCCCCCAGCGCAGCUGGCAGGUUGGGCAGGCCCCCUCCCGAAGCUUCUGGACGGAAGGCCCCAGGUGUUCCCCGAGAUGUCCCAACCCGUGGCAGGGUGCACGGCCACCGGCCCUCGGGAGAAGUUGGGCGGCCCCGGGCGACCCCGGGGACGAGUGGCCGCGUCGGUGCAGCGGUUGUGAGGAAGAUGCGGUAGCACGUGACCCUGGAACGCAAACCCUGAUGCCUGUUCCCCAUCACCCGAGCGCUCCUUUCUCUGACAUUUGGCCCCAAGCCGAUGCAUCACAGGAUGAAUGAAAUGAACCUGAGCCCAGUGGGGAUGGAGCAGCUGACUUCAUCCUCUGUGAGCAAUACCUUGCCAGUCUCAGGAAGUCACCUGGGAUUGGCUGCCUCACCCACUCACAGUGCCAUCCCUGCCCCAGGCCUCCCAGUGGCAAUUCCAAACCUGGGUCCCUCCCUGAGCUCUCUACCUUCUGCUCUGUCUUUAAUGCUACCAAUGGGUAUUGGGGAUCGAGGGGUGAUGUGUGGGUUACCUGAAAGAAACUACACCCUACCUCCACCACCUUACCCUCACCUGGAGAGCAGUUAUUUCAGAACCAUUCUACCUGGCAUUUUAUCUUAUUUAGCUGACAGACCACCUCCUCAGUACAUCCACCCCAACUCUAUAAAUGUUGAUGGUAACACAGCAUUAUCUAUCACCAAUAACCCUUCAGCACUAGAUCCCUAUCAGUCCAAUGGAAAUGUUGGAUUAGAACCAGGCAUUGUUUCAAUAGACUCUCGCUCUGUGAACACACAUGGUGCCCAAAGUCUUCAUCCCAGUGAUGGCCAUGAGGUGGCCUUGGACACAGCAAUCACUAUGGAGAACGUUUCUAGGGUUACCAGCCCAAUUUCAACAGAUGGAAUGGCAGAGGAGCUUACAAUGGACGGUGUUGCAGGCGAGCAUUCCCAAAUCCCAAAUGGCUCCAGAAGUCAUGAACCUCUGUCUGUGGAUUCUGUGAGCAACAACCUUGCAGCAGACGCUGUAGGACAUGGUGGUGUGAUACCCAUGCAUGGGAAUGGCCUGGAGCUCCCUGUGGUCAUGGAGACAGACCACAUUGCAAGUCGGGUCAAUGGCAUGUCUGACAGUGCCCUCAGUGACUCCAUUCACACUGUGGCCAUGAGCACCAACUCUGUCAGCGUGGCACUCUCUACCUCACACAACCUUGCUUCCCUAGAAUCUGUUUCCCUCCAUGAAGUUGGCCUCAGCCUAGAACCUGUGGCUGUCUCUUCCAUCACCCAGGAGGUUGCUAUGGGGACAGGUCAUGUAGAUGUAUCUUCAGACAGUCUUUCUUUUGUACCACCUUCACUGCAAAUGGAAGACUCCAAUUCAAACAAGGAAAACAUGGCAACCUUGUUUACAAUUUGGUGUACUCUGUGUGACCGCGCCUAUCCCUCAGACUGUCCCGAACAUGGACCGGUGACUUUUGUUCCUGACACUCCAAUAGAGAGCAGAGCAAGGCUUUCUCUCCCAAAGCAGCUUGUUCUCCGUCAGUCAGUUGUGGGAGCAGAAGUUGUUGGUGUCCUUCCACUGAUAGGUGUAUGGACUGGAGAAACCAUUCCUGUGCGGACUUGCUUUGGACCUCUAAUUGGCCAGCAGAGUCACUCCAUGGAAGUAGCGGAAUGGACAGACAAGGCAGUUAACCAUAUCUGGAAGAUAUACCACAGUGGUGUCCUAGAAUUCUGCAUCAUUACAACUGAUGAAAACGAAUGUAAUUGGAUGAUGUUUGUGCGCAAAGCCAGGAACCGGGAAGAGCAGAAUUUGGUGGCUUAUCCUCAUGAUGGAAAAAUCUUUUUCUGCACUUCACAAGAUAUCCCUCCUGAAAAUGAACUGCUUUUUUAUUAUAGCCGAGAUUAUGCUCAGCAGAUUGGUGUUCCUGAACACCCGGAUGUGCAUCUCUGUAACUGUGGCAAGGAGUGCAAUUCUUACACAGAGUUCAAAGCCCAUCUGACCAGCCACAUCCAUAACCAUCUUCCUACCCAGGGACAUAGUGGCAGCCAUGGGCCAAGUCACAGCAAAGAAAGGAAGUGGAAGUGCUCAAUGUGUCCCCAAGCUUUUAUCUCUCCUUCCAAACUUCAUGUCCACUUUAUGGGUCACAUGGGUAUGAAGCCCCACAAGUGUGAUUUCUGUAGCAAGGCUUUUAGUGAUCCCAGCAACCUGCGGACCCACCUCAAGAUACAUACAGGUCAGAAGAACUACAGGUGUACCUUGUGUGACAAGUCUUUCACCCAGAAGGCUCACCUGGAGUCCCACAUGGUUAUCCACACUGGGGAGAAGAAUCUUAAGUGUGAUUACUGUGACAAGUUGUUUAUGCGGAGGCAGGACCUCAAGCAGCAUGUGCUCAUCCACACUCAGGUCUUACUCUGUUGCCCAGGCUGGAGUGCAAUGGUGUGAUCUUGGCUCACUGCAACCUCCACUUCCCAUGCUCAAGCAGUCCUCCCACCUCAGCUUCUGAAGUAGCUGGGACUACAGAAAGUGACAAGCUGAUUCACAGCCAGGCACAGUGGCUCACACCUGUAAUCCCAGCACUUUGGGAGGCUGAGGCACGUGGAUCACUUGAGGUCAGGAGUUCAAGACCAGCCUGGCCAACAUGGUGAAACCCCUUCUCUAUAAAUACAAAAAAUUAGCUGGGCAUGGUGGCACACGCCUGUAAUCCCAGUUACUCAGGAGGCUGAGGCAGGAGAAUAGGUUGAACUCAAAAAGCGGAGGUUGCAGUGAACCGAGAUCACGUCACUGGACUCCAGCCUGAGCAACAGAGUGAGACUCCAUCUCAAAACAAAACAAAACAAAACAAAACAGGAUGUACUAUUAUUAGUAUUAGACUUAAAAAAAAAGUGACAAGCUGAUUCUAAAAAUGCAAGGAACCUAGAAUAGCCAAAAUAGUACUGAAAAAAAAGAACAAAGUUGGCAAGCUCAUACUUCCUGGCAUCAAAACUUACUGAAAAUCUACAGCAAUCACAACAAUGUGCUACUGGCAUAAGGACAUACAGAUUAAUGGACUAAAACUAACAGUCCAGAAAUAAACAUUUAUAGUCACUGGUUUUUGACAAGGGUACUAGGGUAAUUAAAUGUUCAAUGGGGAAAGAAGUCUUAACAAAUGGGGCUGGGCAUGGUGGCUUAUGCCUACAAUCCCAGCACUUUGCAAGGCAGAGGCAGGCAGAUCACUUGAGGUCCAGAGUUUGAGACAAACCUGGCCUACAUGCUGAAACCCUGUCUCUAUUAAAAAUACAAAAAUUAACCAGGCAUGGUGGCAUGCACCAGUAAUCCCAGCUACUCAGGAGGCUGAGGUAGGAGAAUCACUUGAACCCUGGAGGUGGGGGGUGCAGUGAGCUGAGAUCACACCACUCACUCCAGCCUGGGUGACAGAGUAAGACCCUGUCUCAAACAAAACAAAACAAAACAAAAAUGGUUCAGGGACAAGUGAAUCAUCCUCAUGAAAAAGAAAGAAGUUGGACCCCUACCUCACACCAUACACACAAAAAAACCUCAAAAUCAUGGAUUUCAAUGUAAGAGCUAAUACUAUAAAACUCUCAGAAGAAAACAUACAUGUAAACCUUCAUGACCCUGACUUAAGCGAUGGUUUCUUAGAUACAACAUCAAAAGCAUGAACAACAAAAGAAAUAAAGUAGACACCAUCACAUGAAAAACCCGUGCUGCAAAUGGUAGCACCAAGAAAGUGAAAAAACAACCCACAGAAUAGAAGAAAAUAUUUCCAAAUCAUGUAUUUGGUAGGAGUUAGUAUUCAGAAUAUAUGAGAACUCCAAAAAUUCAACAUCAAACACAAAAAACAGGCAAAGGGAGGCCAGGCUUGGUGGCUCAUGCCUGUUAUCCCAGCACUUUGGGAGGCUGAGGUGGGAGGAUCACCUGAGCCCCAGGAGGUCAAGAUUACAGUGAGCACUGACUGUGCCACUGCAUUCCAGCCUGGGUGACAGAGUGAGACCCUGUCUCAAAAAAAAGUAAGCAAAGGACUUGAAAAACGUUUCUCCCAAAGAAGAUACACAAAUGGCCAAUAAGCACAAAACAAAGAUGCUCAACAUCACUAAUCGUUAAGAAAUGCAGAUUAAGCCAGAUGUGGUGGCAAGCCCCAGUACUCCAAGUGACUUGGGAAGCUGAGGCAGGGGGAUUGCUUGAGCCCAAGAGUUUGAGACCAGCCUUAGCAACAUAGUUAGAACCCCAUCUUACUUAAAAAAAAAAGGGGGGCGGGUAAUGCAAAUUAAAACCGCAAUGAGAUACCACUUCAUACCCAUUAGGAUGGCUAUUAUGAAAAACAGAAAAUAACAAAUGUUGGAGACACUAGAGCCCUUGUGUGCAUUGUUGGUGAAAAUGUAAAAUGGUGCAGCCAUUAUGGAAAAUCGUAUGGUGGCUCCUCAAAAAAUUAAAAACAGAAUUACCAUAAGAUCCAGUAAUAACACUUCUGGGUACAUACUCAAAACAAUUGAAAGCAGGGACUUGAAUAUUUGUACACCCACAUUCAUAGCAGCAUUAUUCACAGUAUCCAAAAGGCAGAAGCAAUCCGGGUGACCACACGUAAAUGAACGGAUAACAUACAUUACAUACAAUGGAAUGUUAUUUAGCCUUAAAAAGGAAAGAAACUCUGACACUUAUUAGAACAUGACUGAACCUGAAGACAUUAAUAAGCCAGUCACAAAGAAGUAAGUCUGUAUGAUUCCAUUCAUAUGAGAUACUUAGUCAAAUUCACGGAGACAGAAAGUGGAGUGGUGGUUGCCAGGGCUGGGGGUGGGGGAAAUGGGAAGUCAGUGUUUAAAGGGCAGAGCUGCAGUGUGGAAAGAUGAAAAUGUUCUGGAGAUGCAUUGUGGUGAUGGUUGCACAACUCUGAAUGUACUGAAAGCCACUGAACUGCAAACUUAAAAAUGGUAAAAGUGGUGAUAGGAUUUGGCUAUGUCCCCACCCAAAUCUCAUCUUGAAUUGUAGCUCCCAUAAUUCCCAUGUGUUGUGGGAGGGACCAGGUGGAAGGUAAUUGAAUCAUAGGGACAGGUCUUUCCUGUGCUGUUCUCGUGAUAGUGAAUGGGUCUCACGAGAUCUGAUGGUUUUAUAAAGGAGAGUUCCUCUGCACAUGCCCUUUCUCCUGCCUGCCACUACGUAAGACAUGACUUUGCUCCUCAUUUGCUUUCCGCCAUGACUGUGAGGCCUCCCCAGCCAUAUGGAACUGUGAAUCAAUUAAACCUCUUUCCUUUACAAAUUA